RNAcentral lists this ribosomal RNA (427 nucleotides) under uncultured bacterium. RNAcentral's name for it is "partial 16S ribosomal RNA". It matches the Rfam family "Bacterial small subunit ribosomal RNA", at positions 355 to 774 of the family's 1533-position model. The record is from RNAcentral.
UGGGGAAUAUUGGACAAUGGGCGAAAGCCUGAUCCAGCCAUGCCGCGUGUGUGAAGAAGGUCUUCGGAUUGUAAAGCACUUUAAGUUGGGAGGAAGGGCAGUAAGUUAAUACCUUGCUGCUUUGACGUUACCGACAGAAUAAGCACCGGCUAACUCUGUGCCAGCAGCCGCGGAAAUACAGAGGGUGCAAGCGUUAAUCGGAAUUACUGGGCGUAAAGCGCGCGUAGGUGGUUUGUUAAGUUGGAUGUGAAAGCCCCGGGCUCAACCUGGGAACUGCAUCCAAAACUGGCAAGCUAGAGUACGGUAGAGGGUGGUGGAAUUUCCUGUGUAGCGGUGAAAUGCGUAGAUAUAGGAAGGAACACCAGUGGCGAAGGCGACCACCUGGACUGAUACUGACACUGAGGUGCGAAAGCGUGGGGAGCAAACA